RNAcentral lists this ribosomal RNA (253 nucleotides) under uncultured bacterium. Its description in RNAcentral is "partial 16S ribosomal RNA". It matches the Rfam family "Bacterial small subunit ribosomal RNA", at positions 524 to 776 of the family's 1533-position model. The record is from RNAcentral.
UACAGAGGGGGCAAGCGUUAAUCGGAAUUACUGGGCGUAAAGCGUGCGCAGGCGGUUAUGCAAGACAGAUGUGAAAUCCCCGGGCUCAACCUGGGAACUGCAUUUGUGACUGCAUGGCUAGAGUACGGUAGAGGGGGAUGGAAUUCCGCGUGUAGCAGUGAAAUGCGUAGAUAUGCGGAGGAACACCGAUGGCGAAGGCAAUCCCCUGGACCUGUACUGACGCUCAUGCACGAAAGCGUGGGGAGCAAACAGG